AUUGAACGCUGGCGGCAUGCCUUACACAUGCAAGUCGAACGGCAGCACGGGUGCUUGCACCUGGUGGCGAGUGGCGAACGGGUGAGUAAUACAUCGGAACAUGUCCUGUAGUGGGGGAUAGCCCGGCGAAAGCCGGAUUAAUACCGCAUACGAUCUACGGAUGAAAGCGGGGGACCUUCGGGCCUCGCGCUAUAGGGUUGGCCGAUGGCUGAUUAGCUAGUUGGGGGGGUAAAGGCCUACCAAGGCGACGAUCAGUAGCUGGUCUGAGAGGACGACCAGCCAGCGUGGGAGUGAGACACGGCCGAGACUCCGACGGGGGGCAGAAGUGGGGAAUUUGGAACAAGGGGCAAAAGCGUGAUACAGCAGUGCCGCGUGUGUGAAGAAGCCCUUCGGGGUGUAAAGCACUUUUGUCCGGAAAGAAAUCCUGGGCCCUAAUACGCUCGGGGGGUGACGGUACCGGAAGAAUAAGCACCGGCUAACCACG
Molecule: ribosomal RNA, 484 nt
Filed under: uncultured bacterium
Lineage: Bacteria
Description: partial 16S ribosomal RNA
Rfam family: Bacterial small subunit ribosomal RNA
Source: RNAcentral